Molecule: long non-coding RNA, 3698 nt
Organism: Prosopis cineraria
Lineage: Eukaryota; Viridiplantae; Streptophyta; Magnoliopsida; Fabales; Fabaceae
Exons: 2
Source: RefSeq, a predicted model, not a curated record
GGGAUCAGAUUCAAGAACCAUCAUGAGAGAGAGAGAGAGAGUCAGAAAUCAGCUGAACUGGGGCUCACCUCUACCGUCUCUAUCUUCUUCUUCCCCCUUCGUCGUCUUCAACAUCGCUGGUGUUGUGUGCGCUGCUGCCGUCCGCCCAGCUUGCAGCAACUUCUUUCUCCUUUGUUUCUCGUCAUCGAGCUCUUGUCCUUUCUUCUCCAUUAUGUCUAAUCGAAGGUGGUAAGCAUGUUAAACGCUGUGUUGUUGUUGGAGAUCUAAUAAUGUUGCUGCUGUUUUGGGGAUCGUGGAAGCUACCGAUCCCUUCUCCUCCUCAUUUACGUGCCAUCGUUCGAGUUCUUUUUCUGUUCAAUAUGCUGAUUCUUCUUCCUUCUUGCUUUGUUCAUCCACUUGAUAUCUUGCUUCUUUACUUUGUCACGUUGAGUGAGGUGAGAUGCUUCAAUUCUUCUCAUGAUUUUUGCUGUGGCUGUGACAUUCCUUGCCCUGUUUUGCUGUGAGAUAUGUGGAGGGGUAGAAUUUAUUUAAUUUAUUAAAUAAUUUAUUUAUUUUUCUUUCUUUUAGUUAAGAUCAAUUUGAGGAAAUGGAAUUUAGUAAGCUGAUUAUUUAUAUAUUUAUGUUAAAGAAGUUUUGAGAAGAUGAAAUCAAAGAGGAAGAAGUUGGUUUGAGUUUAAGUGUGAAGGCACAAAAGGUGCUUGAUAAAAUGAUUGUUAGGAGAAGUUUGCUUAAUUUUGUAUUUUUCUAAAAGUUCAUUAAUUCUUGUGAAAAGCAUGUUUAGUUUAGGUGUUAUUGAUUCAUAGACUUAACUUGUAGGUUGCAAAUUAAAGGAAUUUGACUAUGAAUUCAUAUGUAACUAGUUAAACUCCUGAGGAUAGUAUGGUUAUUGAUAAAUUGUUGGAUAAAGGUUGGAAGAUUAGAAAAUUUUAAUUUCAUGGUUGGAAUAAUGCACCUAAAGUGUUUGAUGCAAAGAUUUAGAGAAAAUUUUAUCUCAAGUAAAUAGGUUGGUAUGGCUAAAGUAUUAUAGAGGAAAUUAAUGACAUGAAUGAUAAUGCUUUGACAUUGUUAAUUGUAAAUUUAAUUGGGUUUUAUCCUAGGAGUUUAUGUAGGAAGUUAUUGAUAUCUUAUUUUAGCUUUAGAUUAUUGGGAGUAAUAAAGUUAGAAUUUUAUAAAGUAUAUUAUUGCUUUAAAAAGGCAUACUUAGAUGCUUGAAAAAAAUGGUUGGGCCAAGAGAAUUAAAAGUUACACAUUUUAUCAAAUGGGUUGGAAUGUUGCACAUUAUAUGUUUAGUAAAAAGCCUAAGAAGAAACCUUUAUGUGUAAUUUUGUUACUGAAACUUAAAGUUUUAUUACUAAUUCUGGUUGAGUGAAUUCUCAUAAAGAGAGACUUGUUGGUUCAAAAGUAAAGUUCAUUAAGAUCUUAUUAUUUAUUAUAGGGUGGUUGUGUGAAGGGUAGCUCGAUUGAAGUUGUAAGAAGUGAGUUUUGAACUUUGAAAGCACUACAGUAAGUAGAUAGUAUCCCAACUGAUUUUGCAAUAAAGAUUUCCUUUACUACAAUAGUACAUUUUUAUGCAAAAUGGUUUUAGUAACAACGAUAUGGUUAUUGAAUAGUUUGUUUAUUAAACUUCUUUAUUUUGUGAAAUUACAUCUAUCAAUUUUGAAAUUUUAAUUAAUUAAUAAAUAUAAGUUUGGAUUUUGAUUAUGAGAUUUCAUUCUAUUGAACAUUAGGUUAAUAUAGAGAAUGAUUCAUGCGAGUUUGACUUUGAAAAUAAAAAUUUUAUUAUGAAAGUAAUGAUUUUCUCUCAUGUUUGAAAAUAGAUUUGAAGGGGACUUUAUACAGAACACUAGUUGCUAGGGGCAGUUCCAUUAGCCCUUGGUGCGCCAUGGUUUACCUAACUAGCUGAGUACUUAUAGGAGGUGCUAACCCCGUGCGAUGGCCAACGCACAUGGAACGGAGGGAUGGUUAUUCGUGAGCAUCGUACUCACGUUUGUUUCAUGGUUUCAAGUUACAUUUGGUUAGCAUUAUCUUCAUGGACUAUGUGUCCACAUUUGUCUUCAUGGCACAAGCUGUGUUUGGUUAUUUAUCCUCGUGGACUGUGUGUCCACGUUUGUUAAUUAUUCUAAUAAGCUUCUAUAAUUAUGAAUCUGAUUAUUUGGUAAUUUUAUAUUCCAUUGAUUUUAUUUAGAAAUUUAUUUACAAGUAUUUAUUUUAUUUAUGUGACUUCUUAAAAUCAAGUGAUAUUAACAUUUGCUAUGAUAGUUCAACGGUUUAAGAUUUUAUUCAAAAAUUUUGCAGAGCCAUUUUAUUCUAAAAUUUAUACAUUUUUUUAUGGAAAUUGUCGUCUCUUUAACUUAGAUGAUUAUUUCAAACAUUUCUUUUUAUUCAUGUUAAAUUAUUUAUUGUUGGGACAUUAUUUACUGAAAAAUUAUUUUUGUCUCAGAUAGCAUAAUUGACACUGUACAUCUUGCUUACCAAUGAUGGUUGUUUGCAAAGCAUAAUGGAGGUUGGUUCUGUAAAUAUGUUUUAUUGAUGCAAAUAUGAAAUUUAUGUAUUAUGUCAUGAGAUAUAUGAUUAGAUGCUUCACAUAACUUAUAAUUAGAGUCCUUAGUUUAUUAUACAUUUUGUUUCCUGGUUAGAAGGAGUUAAGCUCCUGAUUGAUAUAUUGUUUAAGGAAAAUUUUUUGUGAUACAGAAUUUGAGAGAUCCUAUUUAUAAAGGAGGUUCUGUUAAAAUUUUUACAAAAUGUUGAAAUAAUUAUUAUAAUGAUUAGUAUCAAUGGUAUUAAAAGGUCAGUGAAAAGUUGAGUACAUUUUAGUUAAAUGAAAUAAAUCUUGAAUUUGUGGCUUACAGGAUGUGUGAUGUUGUUCACAUCCUCUGCCGGUCACCCCCUAUUUUUAGGGCAUGACAUGAAAUCUCUUGGGAGGUUGGAAAGUUGCAUGCCCUCAAUUUUCUUGAUCUAUAAAGAAACCAUUUGUCUUGAAGAAUCCCUUCAAGUCUUUUAGAAAUAAAUGGGCUUGCUAUCUUGAAGUUAUCCAAUAAUAAUUUGAUUGGAAAAACUCCAUUAGGAACACAACUCCAUAGUUUUGAUGCCUCUAUGUUUGAAGGAAAUAAUCUUUGUGGCAGUCCACUUAAAAAAGUUUGUCUUGGUGAAAGAGAAUUAGAAGGCCCUACAACUAUUAAGAAACCAAAAGAAGAGGAAGAUGAUUCCAUUUUGAGCCAAGGAUUUUACAUGAGCAUGGGUUUAGGAUUUGCCACUGGAUUUUGGGCCAUCUUUAGCCCCUUGCUUCUGUACUAUACUUGGAGGCAUACCUUUUCAACUUCCUCUAUACUCUAUAUGACAAGAUUGUUAUUUUCACAAUUAUCAAUGUAACAAGAUGCUGCAGGUUAUAUAAAGCAUGAAUAGAUGAUGAGAGGAACCUACUUGUUGGAAGCUCAAAUGUAGGCCUUGGUGGUGGGAUGAUCAUCAAAGAGGUAGUUAGGUGUAGAAGCAAAUAUGUGCAAUGGGAUUGUGCUAGCUACCAUAUAAUAAAGCAUCCAUACGUGGUCUUGUUAAUUAAAUUAGUUACUGCUGUGACUUUGAUCUUUUUUUUUGGAUGAAAUUGAUUUGGUCUUGUUUUACCUUGUUAGUUGUUAUCUGUUAUGAUCAUACUAGCUUUGGACUUGGGAAACACAUCUCUUCAUCUAUACAUGAGUUUUUUA